RNAcentral lists this long non-coding RNA (594 nucleotides) under Ursus maritimus (polar bear). Its description in RNAcentral is "lncRNA (ENSUMAG00000008444.1)". The record is from RNAcentral. Lineage: Eukaryota; Metazoa; Chordata; Mammalia; Carnivora; Ursidae.
CGCCCCUCAAGGAAGCUCGCGAGCGCCAGGCAGCUGUGCAGGUGAACGCUUCCGUCCCCGUCCUUCAUUCAGAAGACGGCGGUGGAGUGCCAGUCAUCAUAACUGAGUGACUGGGGAGGCAGUCCCGUCUCGUUAGCAGCUCACACGGCCUUCCAGCCAUGACUUCUUCCCUAAGGAGCUGCCCUCUGGCUGAUCUGCUUGGGGACACCUGGGCAUCCUACCAAUGUGAUCGAAGUUCCUGCUGCUCUGAGAAGUCUCCCCAUUUAGACUGGAACCAAAAGACAGUCAAGCACGGGUGAAGUAGAAGGGAGAACCUCUGGCACUGACAGGACAGGAACACCUGUGCAAACUGGAUGACCAAGCAUCAGACAGGAAGAUGAAUAUCUCAUCAGAUGCCUGUGUUGACAUAUGACCUGAAGUACUAGAUGUGGACUGACUGCUGUCUCCUUGACUGUAUCCUUGGAAUUCAGAUGCAGACCUGCAGAAAACUCCAAAUUCACUGACAAUGUAUCUACAAAGUUGAUAAGGUGGGGAUUCAAAACAGAAAUUAGACUAAACUAUAUAAUAAUAAUAAAAGUUCUCUCUCUCUUUUUU